RNAcentral lists this ribosomal RNA (465 nucleotides) under uncultured bacterium. RNAcentral's name for it is "SSU rRNA". It matches the Rfam family "Bacterial small subunit ribosomal RNA", at positions 26 to 518 of the family's 1533-position model. The record is from RNAcentral.
AGGACUAACGCUGGCGGCGUGCCUAACACAUGCAAGUCGAACGAGAGUAGCAAUACUCUAGUGGCAGACGGGUGAGUAACACGUGGUCAACCUACCUCUUAGUGGGGGAUAACUAGCCGAAAGGUUAGCUAAUACCGCAUUCGAUCUUCGAUCGGCAUCGAUUGAAGAUGAAAGGCGCAAGUCGCUAAGAGACGGGACCGCGUCCCAUUAGCUAGUUGGUAGGGUAAUGGCCUACCAAGGCGACGAUGGGUAGCUGGCUUGAGAGAGCGACCAGCCACACUGGGACUGAGACACGGCCCAGACUCCUACGGGAGGCAGCAGUGAGGAAUUUUCCGCAAUGGGCGAAAGCCUGACGGAGCGACGCCGCGUGUGGGAAGAAGGCCUUCGGGUCGUAACCACUGUCGAAGGGGAAGAUAUUGACGGUACCCUUGGAGGAAGCCCGGCUAACUACGCGCCAGCAGCCGC